AUGCUGAUCAAGAGCAAGCAAGAGGAGGAGAUCUUUAGUGAUCUGCCCCUCUUUGAUGUUAACAUCUUGAACAAUUUCAUUGAUGAGUGGUUCGAUGACCAGAACAUCAGCAUUGACAGUCUACAGCUACCAGUGGGCAUCAGCGUCAUGUUCCACGGAGCUAUUGCUAAUGAGCUGGCCCUGGCACAGAAAAUCAUCAAGCUCAAAAACAAGAUUGAUUAUGAGAAGGCCCAUUUCAAGAAGAACAUGUACAAGCUUAGUGUGGAAGAUGUGCCAAUCUUCAAGAAGAUGUUGCAUGACCUCAGAACUAAAUUUCACAAGAAGCGUGAAGAAGCUAAAGGCUCUCGAGAACGCAUGAAGUCUUAUACUCAGAAAUGUGUGCAAGCGCACAAUGAAGCUGAAAAGAGGAAAGCUCUUGGGUGUCCUGGCAUUGAUCCUAGAAUGGCUGCUAAGAAGAGUAAGAAGCCUGCUGAAGCUAAUCCUGAUGCUACAAGGCACGGACAACCCAGAAUUGUCUUCCCUGCCAGCAUGACUGGCUCGAAGCCAAAGGUCCCCUCAGCUGCUUCUGAGCUCAAGAAGACCAGGCAGGCUGAAGCAGAAGCCAGGAAGAGGAAGCACAAGGAUACAUCUGAUGAUGCCCCUCCCAAGAAAAAGUUGAAUACAAAGGGCUCUAAGGAAAGAGUGUGCUGCUGCCCAGAGCCCCUCGUUGUUGAACCCAUUUCUAUUGCAUACCCUGCCUCUGCUAAUCGCGAACGUCGUCUCGUUGUUCAUGAGCCUGCUACCACAGAGGCACCAGGAUCAGAAGAGUUCCAGUUGUUGACCCCAACGCAACUGAAGACAUUGGUCAUGAAGACAAUAUACUUGAUGACGAAGUCCUUCCUCAGCUCGAGCCCCAGUUGGUAUCAUCGCCUACUCCUAUGA
RNAcentral lists this ribosomal RNA (921 nucleotides) under Triticum aestivum (bread wheat). RNAcentral describes it as "partial small subunit ribosomal RNA". The record is from RNAcentral. Lineage: Eukaryota; Viridiplantae; Streptophyta; Magnoliopsida; Poales; Poaceae.